RNAcentral lists this unclassified non-coding RNA (206 nucleotides) under Glomeraceae sp. RNAcentral's name for it is "partial contains 5.8S ribosomal RNA and internal transcribed spacer 2". The stretch from base 1 to 71 matches the Rfam family "5.8S ribosomal RNA", at positions 84 to 154 of the family's 154-position model. The record is from RNAcentral. Lineage: Eukaryota; Fungi; Glomeromycota; Glomeromycetes; Glomerales; Glomeraceae.
GUGAAUCAUCGAAUCUUUGAACGCAAAUUGCACUCUCUGGUAUGCCGGAGAGUAUGCCUGUUUGAGGGUCAGGGUAAAUAAAGAUCGGUGUGGUUUCUGCCUUUCGUGGUGACGGACCGUUUGUGUGUCGUCUUGCCUUGGGUUAAGUGGCGUAAAAUUGUGCUUUUUUUGUUCUGAUGUAUUUAACUGAUUUUUUGUGCUUUUUC